AUGUCGCAGACCCGGCGAGUCUGGAAGAUUUGGCCUGCCAAAGAGAACAUUUUGCUAGCGGAGGAUCUUAAUCUUGCAAGUGUUGACGUCGCAGAUUGUCAGGUGGUGGUGAAAGACAUUAAUCAGCAGUCGAUGGCCCCCUACGGCGCCAUUUUACAGGAGAUCAAAGCUCGGAAAUCGUCUAUGAUUAGCCGUCAUUUUAUGUACGAUGGUAGGAGUUUCAAUCUCGAGGCGCAUGUCCUAGCAAAGCACGCUUCUUCUUUAGGCGCCGGUCGUUAUAUUUGGCUUGAUCUCCCCUAUGAUUCAGCUAUUGUACCCUUAAACAUUAUUUCAGACAAUCAACAAAGCGUGUGUUUGCCCAAAAAUUUCAGUUCGUUACAUAGGUCCUGUGAGAAAAGGUACUGCACUCCUGUCACCCAUGGUAUUGCCCUGCUACGUUUUCCCACCCAGCGGCACCGGUACCAGCUACUCCAUCCACCAGACCAGCUGACGAACUUUUGA
Molecule: ribosomal RNA, 501 nt
Filed under: Triticum aestivum (bread wheat)
Lineage: Eukaryota; Viridiplantae; Streptophyta; Magnoliopsida; Poales; Poaceae
Description: partial small subunit ribosomal RNA
Source: RNAcentral